Molecule: ribosomal RNA, 492 nt
Filed under: uncultured bacterium
Lineage: Bacteria
Description: partial 16S ribosomal RNA
Rfam family: Bacterial small subunit ribosomal RNA
Source: RNAcentral
AUUGAACGCUGGCGGCAUGCUUUACACAUGCAAGUCGAACGGUAACAGGCCUUCGGGUGCUGACGAGUGGCGAACGGGUGAGUAAUGCAUCGGAACGUGCCCAGAGUUGGGGGAUAACGCAGCGAAAGCUGUGCUAAUACCGCAUGUGAUCUGAGGAUGAAAGCGGGGGACCAAGCAGCAAUGUUUGGCCUCGCGCCUCUGGAGCGGCCGAUGUCAGAUUAGGUAGUUGGUGGGGUAAAGGCCUACCAAGCCGACGAUCUGUAGCUGGUCUGAGAGGACGACCAGCCACACUGGGACUGAGACACGGCCCAGACUCCUACGGGAGGCAGCAGUGGGGAAUUUUGGACAAUGGGCGCAAGCCUGAUCCAGCAAUGCCGCGUGAGGGAAGAAGGACUUCGGGUUGUAAACCGCUUUUGUACGGAACGAAAAGGCUCUGGCUAAUACCUGGGGCUGAUGACGGUACCAUAAGAAUAAGCACCGGCUAACUACGUG